Molecule: long non-coding RNA, 1230 nt
Organism: Physella acuta
Lineage: Eukaryota; Metazoa; Mollusca; Gastropoda; Physidae
Source: RefSeq, a predicted model, not a curated record
GGUUUCUGGAAUCGGCUUUUAUGCCGUCUACUUGAUCUGAAACUUAAGACGUUUCAUUACACCCCAUAAAAAGAUUGCAAAUAUAUUUAUCGUUAAAUAAAAUGCAAAUUUUAAUCAACGGCAACCGUCAUAAUAUUUGGGUAACCAACCGUUUAAGUCUAUAUAUACUUUACAUUUCUUUUAGAACAGAUCACAUUUUUUCAACUUUCCGUGGACAGAAGAAUAGCUUACACCAGUUGAAUGAAAAUGGCAAUUGUUUGUUUUAAUUCGAACCUCUUUGCCGUGUUUUUCACAAUAUUUUGCUGUGUGAAACUCUCAGAAGCAGCGAGUCCUCCCGUAGUUGUUAUAUACAACCAAACUGUUGCGAACGGACAGACGGUACGGCUAUCCCCAUCCACCACGGAAGUUGAGAUCGAAUGUACAGGUGAAGCUACGGUGAGAAGCCUAACAUUGAGAUGCGACUCCGUGACCAGAACCGUAUAUGACUACAGUGCAUUGUUUACCUUCUCUUAUACGAAAUACUUGAGGAGUGUGGUGUGCGUUUGUACUGCAAGGGACGCUGGUUUCUUCGACGAGAGCACUUCAUUUACUUUGGUUAAUGGUAGUGCAAGUCACAGCGCAUUGAUUUGGAAUGUCCUGUUGGUGACACUUCUGGUCCUGGGUAGGACAGUCCUGGUCUGAUCUACAACCUGAGUCACUCUAGUGCGACGGUGCGUGGAGGUUGUCAGAUUCUUAUCACAGAAAGUAGAAGAAAGAAAGAUGGCUGUAUACCGAUUUCCCUGCCUUUUUUUCUGGUUAAAAGUUAAUAAAAUGAAUAGCACUUUAAAAAAAUGAAAAUAAUGUUUCGGCAAAGAUUAACAGUAAAGUAUUAAUGUUUUUAAAUAUCUUAUUGUUAUGUUAAGCUUAACUUGUAGUUCUUACCGUUAGAUUAAACAGAACAGUUGUUUUAGUAAAUAAAAUAAUGUGAACUAUCACUUUUGUACAUAAGCCACAUUCACACAUUUUAUAGUUUUGUAUUUCCAUUUAUCUACUAUUUUGUGUUUUUCAUACUAAAUUAACAUAAUUUUAUUUUGUAACUAAAACUUUUUGAAUGGGAUAAUGUUUAGUAUAAUGUUACAUGUAUGAUUUAUAUUGAAUAUGUUCACGUUUUCAUGUUACUGUAUGUCCGUUAGAGUUUUUCAUAAUUUAUAUAAACAAUAAUAAAGUAAUUGACCAUUUAAAAUAAAAUUA